Molecule: ribosomal RNA, 661 nt
Filed under: uncultured bacterium
Lineage: Bacteria
Description: bacterial SSU rRNA
Rfam family: Bacterial small subunit ribosomal RNA
Source: RNAcentral
AGUCGACGAGAGAUACAGGAGGAAGUUUUCGGAUGGAAUCCAGUAGAUCGACUGUCGGACGGGUGAGUAACGCGUGGGGAACCUGCCUCAUACAGGGGGAUAACAGUUGGAAACGACUGUUAAUACCGCAUAAGACCACAGAGUCGCAUGACUCAGGGGUAAAAACUCCGGUGGUAUGAGAUGGACCCGCGUUCGAUUAGCCAGUUGGCGGGGUAACGGCCCACCAAAGCGACGAUCGAUAGCCGAUUUGAGAGAAUGACCGGCCACAUUGGGACUGAGACACGGCCCAAACUCCUACGGGAGGCAGCAGUGGGGAAUAUUGCACAAUGGGGGGAACCCUGAUGCAGCGACGCCGCGUGAGUGAAGAAGUAUUUCGGUAUGUAAAGCUCUAUCAGCAGGGAAGAAGAUGACGGUACCUGAGUAAGAAGCCCCGGCUAACUACGUGCCAGCAGCCGCGGUAAUACGUAGGGGGCAAGCGUUAUCCGGAUUUACUGGGUGUAAAGGGAGCGCAGACGGCUAUGCAAGUCUGAAGUGAAAGCCCGGGGCUCAACCCCGGGAUUGCUUUGGAAACUGUGUAGCUAGAGUGUCGGAGAGGUAAGCAGAAUUCCCAGUGUAGCGGUGAAAUGCGUAGAUAUUGGGAAGAAUACCGGUGGCGAAGGCG